Molecule: non-coding RNA, 69 nt
Organism: Trichonephila clavata
Lineage: Eukaryota; Metazoa; Arthropoda; Arachnida; Araneae; Nephilidae
Source: the annotation of a GenBank genome assembly
AUGUAGCACAAUGGCUAGUGCGUUGGACUUCUAAUCCAAAAGCCGUGGGUUCGAAUCCCACUUGAAAUG